GGGCGUUAAGUUGCAGGGUAUAGACCCGAAACCCGGUGAUCUAGCCAUGGGCAGGUUGAAGGUUGGGUAACACUAACUGGAGGACCGAACCGACUAAUGUUGAAAAAUUAGCGGAUGACCUGUGGCUGGGGGUGAAAGGCCAAUCAAACCGGGAGAUAGCUGGUUCUCCCCGAAAGCUAUUUAGGUAGCGCCUCGUGAAUUCAUCUCCGGGGGUAGAGCACUGUUUCGGCUAGGGGGUCAUCCCGACUUACCAACCCGAUGCAAACUGCGAAUACCGAAGAAUGUUAUCACGGGAGACACACGGCGGGUGCUAACGUCCGUCGUGAAGAGGGAAACAACCCAGACCGCCAGCUAAGGUCCCAAAGUCAUGGUUAAGUGGGAAACGAUGUGGGAAGGCCCAGACAGCCAGGAUGUUGGCUUAGAAGCAGCCAUCAUUUAAAGAAAGCGUAAUAGCUCACUGGUCGAGUCGGCCUGCGCGGAAGAUGUAACGGGGCUAAACCAUGCACCGAAGCUGCGGCAGCGACGCUGAUGCGUUGUUGGGUAGGGGAGCGUUCUGUAAGCCUGUGAAGGUGGCCUGUGAGGGUUGCUGGAGGUAUCAGAAGUGCGAAUGCUGACAUAAGUAACGAUAAAGCGGGUGAAAAG
RNAcentral lists this ribosomal RNA (642 nucleotides) under Salmonella enterica subsp. enterica. RNAcentral's name for it is "bacterial LSU rRNA". It matches the Rfam family "Bacterial large subunit ribosomal RNA", at positions 690 to 1328 of the family's 2925-position model. Lineage: Bacteria; Pseudomonadati; Pseudomonadota; Gammaproteobacteria; Enterobacterales; Enterobacteriaceae. The record is from RNAcentral.